Coregonus clupeaformis (lake whitefish) is the source of this 885-nucleotide long non-coding RNA. RefSeq lists it as uncharacterized. The record is from RefSeq and is a predicted model, not a curated record. NCBI's taxonomy places the organism in Eukaryota, Metazoa, Chordata, Actinopteri, Salmoniformes, Salmonidae. The transcript is spliced from 4 exons.
ACAUUAGCUAGUUAGGCGCCAGGUAGGUUAGCUGGCUAGAGCUAGCUAGCUAACGCGUUAGAUAGUAUGAUUUGAAAAUGCCAGUGGUGGGGAAGUAACGUUAGGUAGCGUUGAUGAUACAUAAUCAGUUUAAAGUAAUUCAUGAGAGCUGGAAAUUAAAUGCAGGCAAGCUAAGCUCUGGGAGCGUGCGUAACGUAUGAAGGUGACUGGAGUCAGAUUUAUCUCUGCUGGAGUGGACAAGUGUGCACUGUCGCCUGGGCUGAGGGUUCACGCAGCCUGACUGAAGGAUGUUGGUGCUCUAGACAGAAGGCCAGUGGUUAAAGUCACUUUGAGUCAUGGUAUGUAGAACAUCUUCGUUCCUACGAGCUAUCAUCUACACAAGUUAGCCUGUCUGUACAAUUGCAAUCUGAGCUCAACGACACUGUCACCUUUUCUGCAUACAACAUUGAUGGCUAGCUGCUGUUGACCCCCAAGAGGUUCAUUUGAGUGAGACAGAGUUUAACAUUUAUGACAAGCGAGAGCUUGGUGACUCACCGGUAGCCCUGCUGACAAUGGUUGGUGACAACACGGAAAAUCCAGUCCACUACAAUCCGGUCAAGAUCUGUCGUCCUGGAGAGUGAAGUUGUGGUGAUUGACCUCCCCAGACUGCUGGAUGCUUUCCUGGUAAUGUUUGGUCUGAUCUAUGCUCUACAUCUCAGUUAUCUGAAAGAACUGUCCAACACGUUCGAGUUCAUUCAGAAAAUCCUGCUAGGUUUAGAAGAUGGGAAACUGAAGCCAAGGCUACAGGCUCUGAAUAAUUAUUUAAUGAUACAUGUGUAGGCAUUGCCCAAAUGCCUACCACAAGCUGAUAACACUCUAUGUUUUUGUUUCAACAUAUCGAGAUGU